CAUUGAUAUUUGAAUACUUAUAAAGUUGUGUUAAAUAAAUUUCUAUACAAGGGAAUAUAUUAAGCAUAAACUAUGUCUUAUAUAGAUCAUCGCGUUUUUAAUCUACCCCUAACAACUACAACCACUAUUUUGCCUCCCCUUCUUAUCGUUUGAUAUUUUUCAUUGUUUCUCUCGAUCCAAUAGCAGGAAAUACUUCCGAACUCUUUAAUCCACUCGGUCGUAGUUUUCAAAGUUUAUGGUGGUACUAAAGAAGCAAGAUGGCUGUGAAAGAAUUGUAAACUGUAUCGUGUAUUUUAAAUGUUUCAAAGAAAAUUUUAUAUUCGGGAUAUAUUAUAGAUUAAAGUAACACGAAUAAUUAUUAAUAAUACUUGAUCUUUCACAAAUUUGAUAAAUAUCGAAGCAAAAUGACUGAAGAAACGCAGCAACCUGAAACACCCGUGCAAAACGAAGCACAGGCUAGUUCUCCGGAUGUUGGUAAACUUAGAGAUAACAAGAAAGAAAAAUGCCGACCUAUGACUAAGGUGAUUCUACGUCGACUUCCACCAACAAUGACUUCAGAUCAGUUAAUGGAACAAAUUUCUCCGUUAGCUGAACAUGAUUAUUUUCAUUUUGUCAAAGCCGAUAUGUCGCUUGGUCAAUAUGCAUUUUCCCGUGCUUAUAUUAAUUUCAUGGAUCAACAAGAUAUAUUUACCUUCAAAGAAAAGUUUGAUAAUUAUGUAUUCGUCGACUCAAAAGGUGCAGAGUAUCCAGCCGUAGUAGAAUUUUCACCAUUUCAAAGAUUACCAAAGAAAAGAGUUGGGAAAAAAAAAGAUUUGAAAUGUGGUACCAUAGAAUCAGAUUCAUAUUAUAUAAGUUUCUUAGAAAGUCGUAAAAAUCAGGAAGCUGAUUCAACUAACGCUCAACCAAAAACAGAAUAUUCUUAUCAACCAGCGGACAAUACAUUAAAAAAAGUUACAACGACACCUCUUCUGGAGUACUUAAAACAACGUAAACAAGAAAAACAACGUCUCAGAGAUGAGAAACGUGAAGAAAGAAGAAGACGGGAAUUGGAAAGACGGAGAAUUAAAGACGAUCCAAUUAUAUCUAAGCCUGUAUAUAAUGUUGAAGAUGUCUGCUCCAAGUAUUGCUUCAUCGCAACUGUAUCGUGUACAAACUUAGAAGCCAUUCAUUUUGAAAACCAAAUUAUAAAUGAAAACAAAGUAUUUUCAAUGGAAGAAAACAGUAAUGACCCAAUUUUAAACGGUAGAUUGAAAAUCGAUAAUAAAUUGCAUGCUUACAAAGAAUUGAAUUGCUGCAAUAAAUUUGCUAAUUCAUAUAUCAAAUCUAAUAAAAAUAAUUUAUCGCUUGUAAAGAAAUAUAUAAGAAAUAAUACUAAACACAACAAAUUCAACAACACUUACGAUUUGCGUAAAGAAAAUUAUGCGCAAAAUAAUUCUGAAUUGAAUAAAGAGAAGCGCAUUUAUCAUUGGUGCAACACUAAAAAUAAUUUCAUAGAUAACAAGCAUAAAUUUAAAACCGGUCAAUGUAUUGGAAGAAAUGAAUAUUUUUCAAUGUUUUCGGAAACACAAUUUAGAAACAUCCAUAAUAUGUGGAAAUUGCAUACAACUAAUGAUACAUUCAAUUCGAGGAAUCAUAAUGCGGUACUUAAGAAUCCUGACUUGGACAAAGACACGAACAAGGAUAAUAAAGAAAAUAAGGAUGAUAGGGAUAAAGUAUCACCAAAGGAUUUAAAAAAUCGCAAUAAAAGGGAUGAAAAAUUGCGUGAAAAAAUACCGCGUGAUAGAGAUCUGAAACCUUUAACAAAAGGAUAUAGAGAAAGAAUGGACGAUCGAAAUAAAGAUAGAGAUAUAAAACAUCAAAGACGACAUGACGAUAAAAAACUUUAUGGAAGACGAGAUGACAGAGACUUAUUCAAAGAAGACAAAAAAAAUGAUAUUCGAGAUAAUAAAAAUUAUGAAAUUAGAGAGGAUUUCAAAGAAUCUAAAGAACGAAGGAUUGAAGAAAAAAAAGGUAAAAGUUAUGAAAAAAUGAGACUUGAAAAAAAAAGAUUAGCCGAAAAUAAACGAAAUAAUACGGAUCCUAAUACCGAUAAUGUCAUAACAGUUACAUGCAUAAUGAAAGAAAACCAGAAUAUAACUCAAGAAUCUACCGAAGAGGGAUUAAUUUCUUCUACUUCCAAAGGUGUAAUGGAAUUUGUAAAUGAAAAAAAUGAUGGAAAAAAUAAUGAAAAUAUAAAAUUAAUUGAAAAUGAACAGGAUAUUGAAUUUGUAUCUGAUCAAACUAAGGAUACUGAAACUAGUAUUCGGACUGAAAAAGAUGCAACUGAAAAGUCAAGAUCUAUUGAACACAUUAACCGAGAAACUGGUAUUGAUACUGAAUCUGAAGAAAUAAAAGAAUCUAAGGUUGUGAAAAGACGUAGUUCUUUAGAAAGUGGUGGUGAAGGAGGUACCGGAGACAAUAAUUGCUUGAGACGCCAUAAAUCAUUAGAUGGCGAUGGACAAAGUAAUUUACAAAAAUCCGAAAUUGAAGAUAAGGAAAAAGAUAAAAAGGAUCCACGAUUAGAACGUAGAAUUCGAAAUAAGGAUCGCCCUGCUAUGGAAAUUUAUAGACCAGGUAUGGGGAAAUUUAGUAAACAACGCUUAGAACGGGAAAAAUCAAAUAAUGACGAUCGAGCUUCCCUUUCACAAAGUCCAACUCCAAAUACUACAACUUCCACUGUUUCUAAAACUGCUAAAUCUGGAUCAGAAGUUCGUUCUAUGACAUUUAAGCGUAGUGUUAGCCGUGAUAUUUCAUAACGUGUACUGAUGAGUCAUAUUUACCAAUAUGUACGAUCUAUAUUGUAAACAAAAAAAUAGCAUAUAUUUUACAAAUACUAGCCCCACAUUAAGGUUGCUUUUAAUAUUGUUUCUCAGGAAUUUUAAGUCAUUUAAUAAUGUAGAUCUCUAAUUUAAGUCGUGUAA
This 2960-nucleotide unclassified non-coding RNA is filed under the name Polistes fuscatus (common paper wasp). RNAcentral describes it as "regulator of nonsense transcripts 3B, transcript variant X4". Lineage: Eukaryota; Metazoa; Arthropoda; Insecta; Hymenoptera; Vespidae. The record is from RNAcentral.